UACAGAGGUCUCAAGCGUUGUUCGGAUUUAUUGGGCGUAAAGAGCGUGUAGGCGGCCAGGUAGGUCUGGUGUGAAAACUCGAGGCUUAACCUCGAGAUGUCAUCGGAAACCAUCUGGCUAGAGUCCGGAAGAGGAGAGUGGAAUUCCUGGUGUAGCGGUGAAAUGCGCAGAUAUCAGGAAGAACACCAAUGGCGAAAGCAGCUCUCUGGGACGGUACUGACGCUGAGACGCGAAAGCGUGGGGAGCGAACAGG
Molecule: ribosomal RNA, 253 nt
Filed under: uncultured bacterium
Lineage: Bacteria
Description: partial 16S ribosomal RNA
Rfam family: Bacterial small subunit ribosomal RNA
Source: RNAcentral